Long non-coding RNA from Oxyura jamaicensis (ruddy duck), 2551 nucleotides. RefSeq lists it as uncharacterized. The transcript has 5 exons. The record is from RefSeq and is a predicted model, not a curated record. NCBI's taxonomy places the organism in Eukaryota, Metazoa, Chordata, Aves, Anseriformes, Anatidae.
UGUUUUGUUUCUAAUGUUUGUAUGUUGUGUGCCUGUGUGUGCGUGUGUUUUAUUUGACCCAUAACUGUAUGAAGUCGCUAAAUCCUAGAGGGGAUGACAGAGACGUCCCUGGUUCAGCCUUUUUUGCCCCAGUCGUUGCAGAAAUGUUGGAAAAGUGAGUACUAUCCUUCUCUUUAAAUUGGCUUUUGAAAGUAUACUUUCUGCAGACUCCUGUCCGUGGUUUAGGUACUUGAUUUGGGUGAAACAGAGCCAGACUUUCCUAUUAACUAGUGCCCCGAGUGCAAUUCCCUGUCGUCAGAGAACAAGAACUAUAAACGGUGCUUGGCAGUUAUAAAUGUCUUGGCUUCUACAAAGGCUAACUUGCCAAAGCAAAUAGCAAGUAACCUAAAGACGCUGAAUAGGAAAGGUCCUCUUCUCGAUGGGAAAAGAGCUUCCCAGAACGUGAGCUCUGUUUUCCCGUAGGGCUCCCUACUUACCCAGCCGUUCAGCGAUUAUCGCAGGCUUUGCCCGGUCCCCUCAGGUCCAAUAUCGCACAAGCGUUGUGCUGCAGACGGUACCGCAGCUUACUCUCCAUCUCGUGCUGCGUUUCUCGUACCCGCAGAAAACUUACUUCAGCAUCAAAUAAACCCCGUGGGAAGCGUACCCGACUCAUGCCUGCAGGACCAUCCCGUUGGGGCUGGUAAAAUCCAUGAACGGGGCGAUGCUUGGAAGAAUGUCACCUAUGGAGAAGGCAACACUCUCCUUCUGGGCAACAGUUUUUGGAGACUGGUUUCCCCACCCCACUGUGCAUUUUGAAGGAGGCAGUCCCUAAGCUGAUGCAAUCCAACUGCAUCUAAGCUGUAGUUCUGUAGCAUCUGUAGCAAAAUAAACUGCCAGAUGAAUAAACGAGCAGGUACAAAUACGCUUGACUCUAUAGCUGAGAUUAAAUAACGUGCAGUUUCUUAUGUGUUUUACCUUUCAAAGCACGUUGUUUCCGAGCGCCUGAGCUUUUUGCUCGUAUUACCGAGGAAGGGAAUGGCUGCGCUUCUUCCCCCCUCAUCCCUCUAUUUUAAUUUCUCCUCUUUUCCCUCGAUGACAGGGAUUCAGAAUGUUUUCCUCAGCUGUCCACGUGAAAAUCUUUAAAAAUACAAGAAAACGCUGAUGGUGAACGCUGACAGAAUGGGGUGACAUUUUCAAGAUAGGAAAAGCUCUUUCCAGCAAGACGGAGAAGGAAUUAAUUAUACCUCUGCCUCAUCCCGUGAGACCAGAAGACACCGAGUAACUAACUGUAAGCUGCGAAUCUCAGGAGUCGCAUGGCUAGGAGUCUCAGGUUCCUCCUCUGCCUGGCCCCAAGGCCCCAGGGAUGAGAAAUCUUAGGUUUUAUGUUUUUUUCCCUAUGAAAUCCUGUCACGUUAAGGGACGUAGCUAGCUAAUUGUUAUGGUUCUGGUCAGAUUCAGGGUACUGGACUAUCAUGGACAUGGAUUCACCCAAUAACAUAGCACGCCCUUGCUCUAGUCCCGUUCAAUGAGUACUGUCACGGCUAGGAACAAUGCAACGAACAGCAAUUCCUUAGAGCGACAAGGACACGGGUUCUUUGGAUUGCCGGCGAUAAAUUCUCUGUCCGCAAAAGCAAGGGAGCACGCAUGACAUACACAGGUAAUCGUCCUGGCUGUUAACGCGUUAAAAGACACAAAGGCUCUAGAUAUUUCUAAGUUUCCAAGGAGACACGUGGUACAACCAAGUGUUCCAAUAUUACCCCACGGCGUCCCAGUGCGGGGGGAGGAGAGGCUCAGCCCAUCGACUGAUUGCAGAAGUCAGAAAGUUUAAUUUGCCUAGUUACUUCAGGCAGUUACUCCACAGCUACCCAAAGCAGCGAUAGUGACAAGCCCGCUUCCAGCAUCCGUUCCCCAUGCAGGGAUGGCCACAGGGAUGGACAGACGGAGGCCGCUCGAUGCGUUGCCCCCCAGGGGAGGGGGAAUCGCCGUGUGCCCACCAGUGCAGGUUCCGUAGCGGGCCUUAGAUAAACCUUAGGAGGAACCGGUCCAAGGAAGGAGCGCCUUCUGGAACCGUCGAGCCUUCAUUUGGCAGCUCGGUGACUGGCUCGGUCUACUUGUGAGGUGCUGAGGGAAGAUGUCUGCUGUUCCGAAACGAUACAAAUAAAAACUGGGGUCCCUUGUGUCGUUGAGGGGUGGGUGCUAAUGCUGGCAGCUGAAUGGUUAUCCUCUGACUACGUUUUGGUGUGUUGAAGCUGAAAGGCAGCCUGCAACCUAGGACGUCAUCCCAGCCAGAGCUGCCUCUGGCAAGGUGAGUGAUGCAGCAGUUCCUUUUGCGUUGCCGUUCUCAGUGUCAUUCUGAGUGUCCCCGCUUUGCCUUUUCGAGGUGUUGUAGCUGGCUUAAGAGGGCAGAUGGACGCUUCUGUCUCGGGGACAGGUGAGCGGGCAGAGGUAAGGCAGCCGGUGAGAGUAACUCUGCUGUGGUCUUGGGGUUCUGAGCUUCCUGGUGGCCACGGUGGGUUCGUGAUUCUCAUCUCCCUGCCUUUUUUCUCCGGGUAAAAAAAUGGAGUGUUUCAGG